AGACUGCCGGUGACAAACCGGAGGAAGGUGGGGAUGACGUCAAGUCAUCAUGGCCCUUAUGUCCUGGGCUACACACGUGCUACAAUGGCCGGUACAGAGCGCAGCGAGGCCGCGAGGCGGAGCGAAUCGACCUAAAGCCGGUCCCAGUACGGAUUGGAGUCUGCAACCCGACUCCAUGAAGUUGGAAUCGCUAGUAAUCGCGCAUCAGCAUGGCGCGGUGAAUACGUUCCCGGGCCUU
This 238-nucleotide ribosomal RNA is filed under the name uncultured Spirochaeta sp. RNAcentral's name for it is "partial 16S ribosomal RNA". It matches the Rfam family "Bacterial small subunit ribosomal RNA", at positions 1146 to 1382 of the family's 1533-position model. Lineage: Bacteria; Pseudomonadati; Spirochaetota; Spirochaetia; Spirochaetales; Spirochaetaceae. The record is from RNAcentral.